This 2595-nucleotide long non-coding RNA is filed under the name Phaseolus vulgaris (common bean). Its description in RNAcentral is "long non-coding RNA (PVUL_LNC000032)". The stretch from base 215 to 292 matches the Rfam family "small nucleolar RNA snoR117". The record is from RNAcentral. Lineage: Eukaryota; Viridiplantae; Streptophyta; Magnoliopsida; Fabales; Fabaceae.
GAGCAGAAGAUGAAGGAUUCAAUGGUAUCACUCGCAGGAAAAAUUAGGGUUUCAUUCCAUUUUCGCCUAUUUAAUAUGCGAGCCACCCAUUCAAUACAUCGUUCGCUACUUUCUGUGUUCUUCUACUCUGUAAGUAUUUGCAUGAUUUCGUCGAAUUUCAUCUUUUCUUUUCAACUUUUAUUUGAUUUGCUUUUUGCGUUCUGCUUUUGGGUUUGGCCGGUGAUGCAUGAUGAAUUUGUCCGUACCAUCCGAGAUUUUCUCUGACGAAUGCUCAUUCUUGAAUCUGAGGCCUUUGCUCUUUCAACGUCUAUGAAUUAUGAUUGUUUUCUUUUUAGUUUUUCUCACUAGUGAUUGUGAAUGAAAAAAAGGCAAUAAAUUAGAGUCUCUGAGUUGCUUAUUCCAUGGCGAUAUCAGCGCUGUACGUUGCCGAUAAGAAUUUUGUGCUGAGAGAUUGGCUUGGGUCUCUGUAGGCUCAUGCACUCAGAUGUUCAUACACUUUUUCUGAUUUUUGUUUUAUUUUUUUUGAGUACCUUAUUGGUCCUUAGAUGCUUGUUGAAAUGUGUGGUCUGUUAGAGACUCUUUGUUUUUUUGUUUUUUUUUUUAUGUAAUUAUACUAUUUCACCCAUUUUAAAGCAAUUUUUUUUGUCAAGACUGAAGUGGAGUGAGAUUCAAUUAGAUUUUCUUUUUGAUUAUACUUUUUAUUAGUUAGAUGAUGAUCUCAAGUGAGAUUUAAUUAGAUUUUGUUUAUAACUCACUGUUUUAAAGCACAUUCAGAAUUACUUAAGAGUUGCGGCGCAAUGAACAAAAAACAAUUUUUGUAUCACAGAAAACCUCUGUUUGUUAGCCAAUUGAAAAAAAUCAAUUGAGUGUGGUGGCUAUCAAUUUGUGACCCAAAAAUUCUUGAGAUAAAAGUUCAGACAUUUCACCGAAACACUGUUUUAAUAAGUAAUUUGCAGACUUUAUAUAAAAAAUCUAAGUUUUUGGUAAGAUUUAAUACAAAAUGUUAUGUUUUCGAAGAGAUAAAGAUCAGAAGAUUUAGACCAAAACGCUGUUUAAUAAUAAAGUACAUUCUAUACUUCAUAAAAAAAAUAGUUUUUGGUAAGAUUUUAUUCCGAAAGUAAAGUUCUUGAAACAUUGAACAUCAAUUUUUUUGAAGCAAUGAAGUUUAUGUAAGAUAUCCUUUGUAACGAAAGAAGAUAAAAUGAUUAUUUUCUUUGUUCGUCAUUGACAAAUUUCACAAGGCUGGAUUUUAUUGUAGGGAAUAUGUGACUAUGACGUCACGAAACAGUUGAACACAUUACUGGAAACAAUUUCAUCAGUAAAUUUUUUUACUGGAAUUUGGAUUUCACUCAAUAAUUUUGAAAUUUGCGUUUUUUUAUAGGCUUUGAUAAAGGUAUUCCUUAUUAUCUUUAUGUUUUGUUUGGAUUAGGAUACAAAAAUUGGAUUAGAGAUAAAAAAAAGAGUAAAUUUGAGAUGAUUUAAAGAAAAAAUAUAAAAGAAGUUAAAAUGUAAUUUUGGACAACUUUGGAUGGAAGUGAUGAACACAUAAACUAGAGUAUUUUAAUAUAUUUUAAAUAGUGUAAAUUAGAAGAUUAUAAAUUUAUUUUUUAUGUAAAUAAAUAAAAAAAUGAAAUAUUAAUUAGUUUAAACGACAUUUAAGUUAAUUAAAAUAAUUAGUAUUAUAUUAUAUUAUGUUAUAUAUAAUCAUAAAGUAUACUUUUAUCUAUAUGUUUAAAAAAAAUUAAUAAAAUAAUUAUUAAUUUCGUAUAUAAUUUUAAUAAUUAAAAUAAUUGUAAGUUUUAAUUAUAACUUUAAAAAUAAUAUAAAAUUUAAAUGAAUUAAAAAAUAGAAUAUAAAAAAAUUACUAUCUAUACAUUCAUAAAUUUAUUUAUUAACAUUGUAAAAUGUUAAAAAAAUCUUCUCUAUAUUUAUGUUUUUAAAUUACCACAACAAUUUGUAUAAUUCUUUUAAUAACAAUAUUUUAAAAUAACAUAUUUAGAUUUAUAAUUUCAAUCUAUAAAUUCAAUUCAAUUCAUGUCAAAAAAUAACAUAUUCAAAUUUCAUGAAAUUUUUAUAUUAACAAUAUAUAAUAUUAGACAAUUAAUUUUCCUAAACAUUCACAUCUAAAAUUAAAAACUAAUUAACAACUAUUUUAAAAUGAUUUAAACAAAUUAAAUUCAAAAUAAAAUUAAACAUCCAAACACAAUUUAAAAAAAAAAACACAUACCUCAAGAGAGUAGAACAAACCACAACACAAUGCAAGUCUAAGAUUUAUCUAAUUGUGUCUGAAAAAAAAAAUCAUUCAAAAAUUAGUUCAAAAAACAUAAAAUUAUAAAUCUAGAAAAUUAGAACCAUAAUCGAUUAUCACCCCAGUGUAAAAUAGAUUAUCCAAAUGUUUAUAACACAUAAUCGAUUAUGCUUUCAGUGCAAAAACGACCAUGAUUUUUUUUGUUCACAUAAUCGAUUAUGGCAUACGUUAUUUUCAGUGAUAAUCGAUUAAGAAUGAAACUAAACUCACACACAGCUCACCUGAGGUCACAAACGAAAAACCAAGCGCACUCACGACCCUCUCCAAGUGCUCUAGGUAUGUGCUUU